Molecule: long non-coding RNA, 488 nt
Organism: Zonotrichia leucophrys gambelii
Lineage: Eukaryota; Metazoa; Chordata; Aves; Passeriformes; Passerellidae
Exons: 3
Source: RefSeq, a predicted model, not a curated record
UGUUGGCUGUGCUGUGAAGGUGUCAGUGCUGUGAGGAGCUGACCAUGAGAACUCACCAAGAAGGGCAACUUGCUGAAGACCAGCCUCUUUCCUUGGAGGCCCCUGAUCCUGCAGGAUCCCUUUGUGCAGGCACAGACAGGGAGGAAGCUCUUCUCCAGGCAGAGGUUCCCUCCCAGCAGCAGCCUCUCAUACUGCAGCUGCAGCUCCUGCUGAUAGAAGAAAGUCACUUGCAAAGGAAUGGAGCAAAUUUCUUAACAUCAGAAAGAAGGGCAACAGGAGGGCAUCCCAUGCUGCAGAAUCUGCAAACAUGCAAAAAAUGAAAGUUAGUGAUACUUAAAAGGGAAAAAAGAAGGAGUAGGUUCAAAGCAAAUUGCUCAGUAACACACUUUUUUAAUCAACAAACAAUUGUGAGUGGGAAUGGGUAUAGCAAGGUGUUAAGUUUAGAGAUAAGACAGAAAUUUAAAUUGCAAAAGAAUAAAAAUUUUCUG